RNAcentral lists this ribosomal RNA (408 nucleotides) under uncultured bacterium. RNAcentral's name for it is "bacterial SSU rRNA". It matches the Rfam family "Bacterial small subunit ribosomal RNA", at positions 28 to 430 of the family's 1533-position model. The record is from RNAcentral.
GAUGAACGCUAGCGGCAGGCUUAAUACAUGCAAGUCGUGGGGCAGCGCAGUGUAGCAAUACAUGGGCGGCGACCGGCAAACGGGUGCGGAACACGUACACAACCUUCCUUCAAAUGGGGAAUAGCCCAGGGAAACUUGGAUUAAUACCCCGUAAUAUUAUGAAGUGGCAUCACUUUAUAAUUAUAGCUCCGGCGUUUGGAGAUGGGUGUGCGGCUGAUUAGGUAGUUGGCGGGGUAACGGCCCACCAAGCCUUCGAUCAGUAACUGGUGUGAGAGCACGACCAGUCACACGGGCACUGAGACACGGGCCCGACUCCUACGGGAGGCAGCAGUAAGGAAUAUUGGGCAAUGGACGCAAGUCUGACCCAGCCAUGCCGCGUGGAGGAUGAAGGUCCUCUGGAUUGUAAAC